CUCCUACGGGGGGCAGCAGUGGGGAAUAUUGGGCAAUGGGCGCAAGCCUGACCCAGCAACGCCGCGUGAAGGAAGAAGGCUUUCGGGUUGUAAACUUCUUUUCUUGGGGACGAAGAAAGUGACGGUACCCAAGGAAUAAGCCACGGCUAACUACGUGCCAGCAGCCGCGGUAAUACGUAGGUGGCAAGCGUUAUCCGGAUUUACUGGGUGUAAAGGGCGUGUAGGCGGGGAAGCAAGUCAGAUGUGAAAUUCCAGGGCUCAACCCUGGAACUGCAUUUGAAACUGUUUUUCUUGAGUGAUGGAGG
RNAcentral lists this ribosomal RNA (305 nucleotides) under uncultured bacterium. RNAcentral's name for it is "bacterial SSU rRNA". It matches the Rfam family "Bacterial small subunit ribosomal RNA", at positions 336 to 655 of the family's 1533-position model. The record is from RNAcentral.